GUAUGUACUUGACCCGACCCGGCAUGGUCCAUUUGGGUUGCAUGGCACCAUGCAAUUGGAUAAACUAAAUGAGAGAAAUAACGCUUGGAGAUUAUUAAUAUAUUAUAAGUUCUAAUAUAUUAAUAAUAAUAUUAUUUGAUUAGUUUGAUCAAGAAUUAAUUUAGAAUUAAUUAAGUGAUCAAAAGAUAACUAAUUAAAUAUAUGGGUUGAUUAAGUAAAUCAUCCAUAUCUUGUAUAGUGGGCUAAAAGGCUCCAUGGAUCAUCAAGUUGGGUUCCACCCAUAGGAUGCUCCAUGGAUGCUCCAUGGGAGUUACAAACCCAUGGGUCAUGGAAAUGAAGAGUCAUGACACAUUAGGGUUUAACCCUAGAUGUGUCAACACUAUAUAAGUAAUAUGAUCUCCUCCCAAAUCGGUUACACACUAAGUAAUAAGGGGGCUUGGCCGAUUUUGAAGAGUGUGUAUUCUCUCAUAAGUUCUUCCAAGAGCAUUUGGUGUUGUGUGAAGCAUUUGAGGCAUCACCACUUGAGGUGCUAGGCUCACAAGGUUUCAAGGAACACAAGCAACAACAAGGUAAGUUAUUCUAUCUAUACUUUAUGUUAAAAUUGUUCCCCAUGUAUGCUAGAUAGGAUAUAACCUUGGAAUUCAACUUUGCAUGACAAAUUAGACAAACAUAGAUCCAAGGUUAUUAGGGUUGCAUGUACACUUAGGAAGUGUUAGAAUGCUCAAAACCCAUCAGUGGUAUCAGAGCCUAGGCUUGUUUGUUUGUUAUUUGUGCUUAAAAGUUGAAGAAAGUCGAAAAUCUUGCUGUCUGACUGAUGGACUCGGCGAGUCCAUGGGGAGGACUCGACGAGUUCAUGUGUAUCUUCAACCUACUCGGCGAGUAGGUUUAUGCACUCGGCGAGUAGGGUCGACAGAGUGCAGAAUUUCGACUUGUGUUGCUGGAAAUGGAUUAGAAUCAUUACCCUAAAAUGUUUUGGUACUUGAAAACUUAUUUUAGAAGGUGUAAUGUCUUUUCUAACUCAUUUACAACAACUAGUUAUCAAAAUUACAAAGAUUAAAUGUGAUUUUGAUUCUUGAAAGUGUUCAUAUUCAUAUUCUUGUUCUUAUGAUGUUUAGAUGAUCAUAGGAAUUAUUUGUAACCUAUGUGGUAGAUUAAUUCAUGAUCAUAAUGUGUUUUAAUGGAGUCCAUAACUUGUCCUCAAGUUAUGGAAAACCAAAAGUCUCUUGGAUUAAAAAACAUUAAAAGAACACAAGAGUUAGGAAAAAUGAAAAGUCCUCAUUUUAUUACUCUAUUAAACUCAUAAGUUACAAGAAAUGAAAAGUUUUGAAAGUUUACAAAACUUGCCCUCAAGUUUUGGAACAAGUAAAGUUAAGUUAAAACUUUAGUUCCAACCCCUAGAAUUUUAAAAGUUAAAAUUCAACCCUUAUACUUAUAUUAUUAUGAUUUAAUAAUUAUAUAUAUAUGUAUAAGAACAAAGUCGUCUUACCGCUAGUACGCCUCAUUCACGAAGCCGGUCUAUAAGGUGGGUAUAAGGUUGUUGCCUAUAAAAUGGUGACUUAAUGGGUGUCCACUCUCACCCACCGCUUGCUUGAUCGGUGGAGGGUCGUUAGCCGAACGGGUAAGACAAGGACUUAUUAAUUCUCAUUCAAAGUAUGAUGAAUAUUAUAAAGUAACUAAAUGUUUUAUUAAAUUCCCAAUCUUAGUUACUUUAGGAAAAAUGUGAAUAAGGUGCUAUUCCAUGAAAUUACACUUUACACUUUGAUUAAGUCGUUGGUGGAGCGUGUGUGGUUAACCGGCACACUAACUUGGACUUAACAAGGUAGGUAAAGGGUGACUUAGGGUUUAUUAUAGUAUCGAUGGAGCGUGUGUGGUUAACCGGCACAUCGAUUGAGUGAUAAACUUUAAGGGUACCAAGUGAUUUGCAUGGUUACUUCACACCUCGUUUUGUGAUCCUCGGUAUCCCAGUCACAAAACUUGGAGGGCACACUCGAGAUUGAAACAUGCCUUUGAAAAGUUCAUUGAAUCUCAAAGAAUCUAGGAAUUUCUAAGAACCAUUCAAAAACCUAAUACUAAAAUAUUGCGGUUUUCGUGGUGGAAAUUGGUGAAUCGUCAUUCACCUACCUUUCAAAUAUGAUAUAGCUUAGAUUACGGCAUACCUCUUCUAAGUUAUAUUAUAUUGUGAUUGGAUCCUAGCCUUAAUAUUACAUUUGGGUGUUUUAUUAAGGACUCUCUUAUAUCUAAACUAAUCUUGUCCUCUUUCCUUCAGAUGUCUUUCAACAAUGCUUCUGGCUCUAAUCCUAAUGGCUCCUUUACCCUUAUGAACUUGUGUGGGAAAGUCACCUUUGAUGGAUCCAACUUCAAUGAGUGGAUCAGAAACAUCAGGAUGAUUACCCGCUACGAGGACAAAGAAUAUGUCCUUGACAAGGAGCUUAAGGAGAUUGAUGAGUCCACUGCAACUCCUCAGGAGAUCGCUGAAUUUCGGGCACAUGAAAGGGAUGCUACGAAAGUGGCUUGCAUCAUGAUGGCCACGAUGACAGCGGAACUCCAAAAGUCUUAUGAGGAUUUCUACCCUUAUGAAAUGCACCAAGAUUUGAUGGAAAGAUACCAUCAAAGUGCAAGACAAGAGAGGUAUGAAAUCAUCUGCUCCAUGAUAACAACCAUGAUGAAGGACGGGGAAUCCGUCACGAGCCACAUGCAGAAAAUGCAAAGGUAUGUGGAUCGUUUGCUGAAGCUUAAUGUGAACUUCCCGGAGGAUCUUGCAAUAGAUAUUAUUUUGCAUUCCUUACCAUCGUGCUAUGAUCAAUUCCGCAUGACAUAUCACAUGAACAAGGAAGAAGUCACCCUCAGCAAACUUCAGGGACUUCUCAAGACCGCAGAAUCAGGUCUUAAGGGGAAGUCGGUUGCUAUCACUCCUACUCAAAACUCUACUCCGGUUUUGGCAAUCGGGAAAAGUCGAGGGAGGAAGAGAAAGAGCUCUUCUAAGGGUACCAAGGUUCGGACCCUUGAUGGCUCUUCUUCAAGUGGAACCAAGAAAGGUUUCAUUACUCCUUCUUCUGACCCAAAAGAGGCUGAAUGCUUCUAUUGCCAUGAAAAAGCUCAUUGGAAGCGGAACUGCCCAAAAUACCAGCAAGAUGUGAAGGAUGGGAAAGUUAAACCCAACCAUGCAGGUAUUUACACUAUCAUUUCUAAUAACUCACCCCAUUCUAAUUCUUGGGUCCUUGAUACCGGGUGUGGUAUUCACAUUUGUUGUGACUUGCAGGGACUAAGAAGAAGUGAGGAUGUGGAGCAAGGAAGGAUAAACUUGAUCAUGGGGAAUAGGAAAGCUAUACCUGUUACCAAGAUUGGAGUUUAUACUUUAUCGCUAAGUAGUGGGUUUAGUUUAGAUUUGAAUAAGUGUUGUUAUUCGCCAGGAAUGGCAAGAAAUAUUAUUUCCUUUCAUGCUUUGUACAAACAAGGGUUUACCUUUUCAUUUAAUAAUGAAGUUGGUUCUAUAGAUGUUUUCUAUAAUAAUGUCUUUUAUUUUAAAGCAUUACCUUGUGAUGGUGUGUAUGAAGCUGUAUCUGUUGUAGAUAACUUGGGAAAUAAUGUUUUGUGUAUUGAUUCUACUAAUAAUAACUUGGAUAAAGCAUCUUUAUGGCAUUGUCGUCUUGGACAUAUAAGCAAGAAACGCAUAGGCCAACUCCAAAAGGAUGGAGUCUUGGAGUCGUUUGACCUAAAGUCAGAUGAUAGUUGCGAAUCAUGCUUACUUGGAAAAAUGACAAAGUCACCCUUCACAGGUUCGUGUGAGAGGGGUGAAGGUUUGUUGGACCUUAUACACACGGAUGUGUGUGGACCAUUCAAACAUGCCACAAGGGAUGCUAAUCGUUAUUAUUUGACUUUUACUGAUGAUUAUAGUAGAUAUGGAUAUGUCUACUUGAUCAAGCAUAAGUCAGAGACUUUCGAGAGGUUUAAGGAAUUUAAACAGGAAGUCGAGAAUCAAUUGGGCAGGAACAUUAAGAUGCUUCGAUCCGAUCGUGGUGGUGAGUAUCUUAGUUCAGAGUUCCUCGACUAUCUAAGGGAAUGUGGGAUAGUCUCACAAUUGACACCUCCCAGGACACCACAGUUGAAUGGUGUGGCUGAGAGGCGUAAUCGAACCUUGUUAGAUAUGGUUCGUUCCAUGAUGAGUCGAGCUACGCUACCAAUCUCAUUCUGGGGGUAUGCCUUAGAGACUGCCGCCCAUAUUCUUAAUCUAGUCCCUACAAAGAAAGUUGCCAAAACUCCUCACGAGAUGUGGACUGGUAAAGUACCUAAACUAGACCACAUCAAGAUUUGGGGUUGCGAGGCUUUCGUGAGACGCGAGACUCAUGAUAAGCUCGAACCUCGAAGCGAGAGGUGUAUUUUCAUCGGUUACCCACAGCGAUCCUUUGGUUACCUCUUCUACAGACCUAGUGACAAUGUGGUCUUUGUAGCAAGAAGAGGAGUCUUUCGAGAAAGAGAGUUUAUAAGCCAAGGAGACAGUGGGAGGCAAAUUGAUCUUGAAGAAAUUCAAGAAUCAAGCGGUGAAGGAACUUCAAACUCUAGCCCUCAACUUGAGGAGGAAACUCCUGUUGAGCCAAUUGACAAAUCUGUACCUCUGAGACGUUCCACGAGAGUUAGGAGUGCACCUGAGCAUUACUAUGGAUUCCAUAUUACUGCAGAAGGUGAGACACUUAUUAGUGAUGAGACACUAGUAAGUCAAGAUGACCCUAACAGCUACGAGGAAGCCAUGGCAGGCCCCGAGUCUGCUAAAUGGAAAGAGGCUAUGGAUAGCGAGAUACAAUCCAUGUAUGACAAUCAAGUUUGGAACUUGGUUGAAAAUGUACCAGGUCGUAAGACAGUAGGGUGCAAAUGGGUCUUCAAGAAGAAGACCGACAUGGAUGGUAAAGUACACACUUAUAAGGCUAGACUGGUUGCAAAGGGCUUCUCUCAAAUUCCUGGAGUGGAUUAUGAUGAGACCUUUUCUCCGGUAGCCAAGAUUAAGUCUAUUCGGGUUCUGUUAGCCAUAGCUGCAUUUCAUGACUAUGAAAUAUGGCAGAUGGAUGUCAAAACCGCUUUCCUUAAUGGAAAGUUGGCUGAAGAUGUUUACAUGAGUCAGCCAGAGGGUUUUGUCAGCAACGAGUACCCUAAUAGAGUGUGUAAGCUUGAGAAAUCCAUUUAUGGAUUGAAGCAAGCACCUCGCAGAUGGAAUCUUUGCUUUGAUGAAAAGGUCAAGGAAUUUGGCUUUUCUAGGAGUGAAGAUGAAUCUUGUGUGUAUGUCAAGGCUAGUGGGAGUAUAGUUAGCUUUUUGGUAUUGUAUGUGGAUGACAUACUACUCAUAGGAAACGACAUUCCAACCCUGCAGGAAGUAAAGUCCUGGCUUGGGAAGUGUUUCGCUAUGAAGGACCUUGGUGAAGCUGCCUAUAUUCUAGGGAUAAGAAUCUUGAGAGAUCGGAGUAAAAGACUAAUUGGACUUAGUCAGAGUACCUACUUGGAUAAGGUGCUGAAGAGAUUCAGCAUGCAGGAUUCCAAGAAAGGAGAGUUACCCAUCCAGAGUAACACCAGAUUGAGUAAGACACAAAGCCCUAGCACUGAGGCUGAGAUAGCAGAAAUGAGUCGAACACCUUACGCUUCGGCUGUAGGAUCGAUCAUGUAUGCUAUGACGUGUACUCGACCCGAUGUAGCUUUUGCCUUGAGCAUGGUUAGCAGGUAUCAGGCGAACCCUGGCAAGGCACACUGGACUGCGGUAAAGAAUAUCCUCAAGUACCUACGGAGGACUAAGGACUGGGUCCUUACCCUCGGUGGGAGUGAUGACUUGAGAGUUGUAGGGUAUAGUGAUGCUAGCUUCCAGACUGAUAGGGAUAAUUUCCGCUCUCAGUCGGGCUGGGUCUUUACCCUAAACGGAGGAGCAAUUUCUUGGAAGAGUUCCAAGCAAGAGACAGUGGCAGAUUCUACUUGUGAAUCAGAGUAUAUUGCAGCUAGCGAAGCAGCAAAGGAGGCGAUAUGGCUGAAGAACUUCAUUGGAGACCUUGGAGUUGUACCAGCUAUUAAAGAGCCAAUGGAAAUUUUCUGUGAUAGUGAAAGUGCUGUUGCCUUAGCCAAGGAACCAAGGGAUCAUGGGAGAUCCAGACACAUCGACAGAAAAUACCAUUUCAUUAGACAUCGGAUCGAAGAAGGACUCCUCGUGGCAAAGAGGGUAUCAUCGGAUGAGAACCCAGCAGAUCCCCUCACGAAGGGACUGAGUAGGGUUAAGCAUCUCCAGCAUGCUCGGAGCAUAGGGCUGAAGGAUGAUAUAAGUUUUAGUAGUUAGAUAACCCAGAAAUUUGUAAAGUGUAAUUGACAUUUGAUGAUGAAUAAAAGGUGUUUUAUUUAUGAGUAAAGUGUUGCUAUCUCUUGUCAAUCGUUUACUAUAUUUCUUUUGCAUGUUUUGACUUCCAGAAUAAUUUUGUUUGGUGUAACAUAUUAUUCAAACCUCCACAGUCGGUCAUAUGUCGGAAGUAGGUAUGAAUCAAGACUGUCAUGAUGGGUUGUAGAGGUCUAAGGUGUUGGACAAGGCUACAACAAUCAUGAGUGCUCAUAAGUUCUGAGCAUUGGACUCAACCCACGCUCACUGGAAUCACUUCAUGGAAUUCUAUCUCGAGUGAUCGUGAGACGGUAAUAUCAUAUAAGUCUUCAAACCUAGAGAUAUGAUUUGUUACUUACAAGUUGGUUAUGCAUUGACUGUACGAAACCGCAUUGGUAACUCGAUGUUAUAAAACGUACUUUUGUGUGUAAUUCAAUGAGUGGUAGAACAAACAUAUGAGUCGAAGUUUAUCUGUUCCUUCUUGGAUUAGAAGCUGAUAUCUGGGCCCCUCGAUGAUUUUGUUUUGACCCAUGUACCGGGCCCGGUCAGAACUAAGUUGAUGUGUUCAAUUAAGUUCUAUGUCAAACAAAUCGGAAAUCGGGAAACAAAUGCUGGACAAUAAGCAAGACAAUGUUCCAUGUAUUUGUCCGGCUGAUAUCUAGAACGGAGGAUUAUAUGAUCACUUAUCUUAAAUGGCGUACCAUCAUCUUCUCAGUUCCGAGAGACCUUGAAAGAGCUACGAUUGCCGGUCGGUUCCUGAAGUACUAGAGAUAUAGUUAUUAGACUUAUCCAAGUGGGAGACUGUUGGAUAAGGUGUCUAAGUCCAUAACUAUUUCUGGUAUGUACUUGACCCGACCCGGCAUGGUCCAUUUGGGUUGCAUGGCACCAUGCAAUUGGAUAAACUAAAUGAGAGAAAUAACGCUUGGAGAUUAUUAAUAUAUUAUAAGUUCUAAUAUAUUAAUAAUAUUAUUUGAUUAGUUUGAUCAAGAAUUAAUUUAGAAUUAAUUAAGUGAUCAAAAGAUAACUAAUUAAAUAUAUGGGUUGAUUAAGUAAAUCAUCCAUAUCUUGUAUAGUGGGCUAAAAGGCUCCAUGGAUCAUCAAGUUGGGUUCCACCCAUAGGAUGCUCCAUGGAUGCUCCAUGGGAGUUACAAACCCAUGGGUCAUGGAAAUGAAGAGUCAUGACACAUUAGGGUUUAACCCUAGAUGUGUCAACACUAUAUAAGGAAUAUGAUCUCCUCCCAAAUCGGUUACACACUAAGUAAUAAGGGGGCUUGGCCAAUUUUGAAGAGUGUGUAUUCUCUCAUAAGUUCUUCCAAUAGCAUUUGGUGUUGUGUGAAGCAUUUGAGGCAUCACCACUUGAGGUGCUAGGCUCACAAGGUUUCAAAGAACACAAGCAACAGCAAGGUAAGUUAUUCUAUCUAUAAUUUAUGUUUAAAUUGUUCCCCAUGUAUGCUAGAUAGGAAUAUAACCUUGGAAAUCAACUUUGCAUGACAAAUUAGACAAACAUAGAUCCAAGGUUAUUAGGGUUGCAUGUACACUUAGGAAGUGUUAGAAUGCUCAAAACCCUUCACUAGGCAUAUGUGUAGGG
Molecule: long non-coding RNA, 7925 nt
Filed under: Lactuca sativa (garden lettuce)
Lineage: Eukaryota; Viridiplantae; Streptophyta; Magnoliopsida; Asterales; Asteraceae
Description: long non-coding RNA (LSAT_LNC008615)
Source: RNAcentral